RNAcentral lists this ribosomal RNA (254 nucleotides) under uncultured bacterium. RNAcentral's name for it is "partial 16S ribosomal RNA". It matches the Rfam family "Bacterial small subunit ribosomal RNA", at positions 524 to 776 of the family's 1533-position model. The record is from RNAcentral.
UACGGAGGGGGCUAGCGUUGUUCGGAAUUACUGGGCGUAAAGCGCACGUAGGCGGCUUUGUAAGUUAGAGGUGAAAGCCCAGGGCUCAACCCUGGAAUUGCCUUUAAGACUGCAUCGCUUGAACAUCGGAGAGGUAAGUGGAAUUCCGAGUGUAGAGGUGAAAUUCGUAGAUAUUCGGAAGAACACCAGGUGGCGAAGGCGACUUACUGGACGAUUGUUGACGCUGAGGUGCGAAAGCGUGGGGAGCAAACAGG